RNA transcript from Oncorhynchus mykiss (rainbow trout), 4150 nucleotides. It is a transcript of the gene named sodium channel, voltage-gated, type II, beta, with no coding region annotated. The record is from RefSeq and is a predicted model, not a curated record. Lineage: Eukaryota; Metazoa; Chordata; Actinopteri; Salmoniformes; Salmonidae.
CAACCAUAUAAUCAACUAUUUCUACAGCUACAGUCACUGCCAGCCAUAUCAUAGCACUGAAAAAAGAACACAUAUUUUAAGCUUUUUUUUAAGUACAACAGAAGAUUUGACGAUAUUUGUAUUUUAAUCAUAUAGCGUGACGUUUUACUACAAGGAGAUACAAUGCAUUUUACAUUACAAAAGCGAAAUAAGACGUGGAUGCCAGCUAUCAACUUGAGCAUCGUGGGAUUGGUGGUUUAUAGUAUGGCCUGCCCUGUGUCCAGUAUGGAUGUCCUGGUCCAUAACCAGAUCAACGUCCUGAAUGGCACCAUGGUGAGGAUCCAGUGCAUCUUCACCUCCUGCUACAAGAUGGACGUCAACAAGUUUGCCAUGAACUGGACCUACCAGGAGAACACCAACGAGACUGAGGAGAUGUUCAUGACCUAUAAGAAGGGGAUGAUGCCCCUGCGGACAGACCGGUUCAGUGACCGGGUGCAGUUUGUGGGUAACCUGGAAAAGAACGACUUGUCCAUCACCCUCUCUGAUGUCCAGCUGUCGGACGAGGGCGUCUAUAACUGCUACGUCCGUAACCCCCCCGACCGCAUCCAGGGCCACGGAAUCAUCAACAUGUUUGUCGUCACAGAAUUGCCUCCCCCGCGGGACUCGACCAUAGCGGUUGCGAUCGGGGCGUCAGUCGGCGGUGCGCUGGCUCUGCUCAUCCUGUCCAUGGUGGUGGUGAAGUGUAUACGGCGUCACAAGAAACAGGAGCUCAUCUCUGACGAGCAGAAGAUGGAGGAAGAGGGCAAGCUGGAUGCAGAGGGGGGCCCCGAGGAGGGAACCAAGCAGCUAUAACCGGCCUGCAUGGUCCUGGAGGCCCAAGGUUCGCUGGAGCCCAACCUCCUCCCUCACGCUGGAAAGCAUUCCUGCCUGAAGAUGUAUAGUGACCCUUGCUUGAAUCCUCGUCCAGCAUCUGCCUCAGCCCACGCCGCCUCCUUUCCUUCCUCUAUGGGAAGCCCCAGCCACCAGCCACGCCACCCACACCACCCCUGCCUCUAUCUUCAGUCAGUCUUAUCUCCUAUCUUCUUCGACGGGGGGCCACAAAAGGUGUAGGCGACUAGUAGACGGCAGUCUCCAAACGACAUUCCUCUUUCCCCUUUUUCUCGCUUGUGGUUUAGCUUAAGAUAGAGAUGUAAGACCUUAAUUUGAUCCCCCUGUAGCAGCAUAACUUUCCUACAAUGCAGUAUGUUUAAAAUGUGUAUUGUAUUGGAGGUUUUAAAAGGCUUCUGAAGUUUUCACUAAUGGAAAAUGCAUCAACUCUUAGAAAAAUAUAAAUUCACUCUAAUCCACAUAAUCAUUCACAUUUCCUGUUGCUGCAGGACUAUUUUCCUGCUGUAGAAAACUGGCUCAAAUUAAGAUCCUACAUCUGUAGAGUAAAUGGAUGGUUUGACAUCCGUGAUUACUGGGAAAGAUCCUGCUCUCUCUUUCUGUCACUCUCUCUCUCUCUCUCUCUCUCUCUCUCUCGCUUUCUCUGUAUCACUCUCUUAAAUUGUUGUCUUCUAACUUGCCACACCAUUGGAUAACAAAUGAUUUACUUCCAAAUCAUAUAAUUCUCUCUCGCUCUCGCUUGCUCUCGCUCGCUCACUCUCUCUCGCUCUAAUUUUCUUGCUCUAUCACAUUACUUAGCGAUGCAUAAUGGCUGGGGCAAAAAAGUUCCCUUUUUUUCUGACAGCUCGUGUGUGUGUGUCCAAAUUCUACCUUUCUGUGUGAGAAUGCUGUGGGUGGAUUUUUGGCUGUGUGUGUUAGUUUUUAUGUACAGGGUAUAAGCUGAAUGACCUUCAGACGUAACUACGAGCAGUGUGGGUGUAUACACAUGUGUGAAUAUGUGUGUGUUUGUGUGUGUGUGUGUGUGUGUGUAUUUGAGAAUGUGUUUUAGUGUCCUUAGUGUCCGAGUGUCUUUCCUUCAAACUCAGAGUCUCCCUUAAUGGAGAAGCCAGGCAUGAUUUUAUCAGUAGUCAACUCUUCUGAACCCUUGCUUCAAUAUGAUAUUUUAGCCUGUGUUGCUUGCUCAUACAUCGAAACAACACACAUGUGUAUCGCUAUGAAUGAAGCUAGUACAAUAUCAUACAUAAGCAUGGCAUUUUUUUGCACACAUUAAGACAGGCACAAUUCUGUCUACAGUGGAUGGAUCGUUAAUGGUCUGACAUUAUAUACUAACUGACAUUGUACAAAAAACCCAAUCCCCAAAUGAUGUCCCCCUUUUGUCCACGUGCAGUAACCCUUACACAACACCUGAAUGUCCGGCCCUAGUUGGUCGUUGACACUCAAAUGAGCACACAGACACAUUGACUAUACGUGAUCCAACACAUAAGCUUCAAACACCACAUACAGCCGUGUAGCUGUUUUGCACACCAGAAGUCCACACGCCGAGGCCUACACAUACAUAAAAGCUGAGCACUUUCAGGGAAAACAGAAAAAAAAAGUACAAUAGAGAAAAAUUUAUAUCGGAUACAUAUAUUUAUACGUUUUGACCAAAUACCAAGCGGUACUCUAGAGGUGUGCUUUGAUUGUUGUCGCUAUUUACGUGUGGUCCUCACUGUCUUAAACUAUCAAUGUUGGAAUGUAUGAGGCCUCUCUCCUCUGAGGUAAUUGAUCUUGGAUGUUCUUUGGAUGUUACAUAUUUAGCUAUAUUAGUAUUGCACUGGUUGUGAAUGUAUUUGGGAGACAACGUGAGAUGUCCAAGUGGACGUAGCAACUACUUAAUGAAAUGAAUAUACAAUCAAUCAUUCCACUUCUCGCACAUUGAAUUUGAAACUACCCUCACAGAUGUAGGGCUUACGUUACAUUAUCACACAAGUUUUGUAAUGUAUGUAAGUCUGUGAAGGAUCACACAAAGUAUAAACUGUGGAUUUGCUAAACAAUAUCACAACCUUAAAAUAGUAACAUUUAUUUAUUUUAGUGAAAAUUUGUCAAAUGUUACCUUCAUUUGCUCCUUGUGUUUAAACGUCUUGGCUUUGUAUUUUCCAACAGACAGUGUUGAGGGAGCAGAUAGCCUAUGGGAGUGUGACUUUAGGUUGGCAGAAUAUGACUGGGUGCCUCUGGUGUUGUCUGAUGUGGUUUUAAGGCCUAAAGCCGGGGGCCACGCUGAUUCUGUGCCCAGGAGUGCCCUACCUCAUCUGGAGACAGUCUGUCCCUGUCUCUGCAAUGGGCACUGCGUUCAUAGUCUGCCUUUACGUUAUUCACUGCUGAAGCUUCUUUCUUGCACACUUUGUUUCUUAUUAUUUAUCUCCUCAGAUCCGUCCUAGUUUAGAUUUCAUUUGAUUGAGUAUUGUAUUUUGACAUUGUUGAAUUUUGUACCACGCAGUUAUGUAAUUUGUACUUUAUGAUGUGACUUUGUGGUUGUCCUAGCUGUUGACGUUCUGGUAGCCAUCAUUACUUGGUCUUUGGUAAGUUGGCCUAAGUUUGGGGAGCUCACGUCUGAAAGAUCAUUAAUUUAACAGUGGAAGGUACAUGCUGAUCUCCACUUGUAGGGUUUACACGCUCCCUUUCUAGAAUGACUUCAUUACUAAUUACUAUAUGAAUUAAUUCAACUUCUGUGCAAUUGUGACUGUGGUGUUAAUCAGUUUGUAUGGAGUCUGAGACAUCAGCUAGAUGCAUGGUUAGAAGUCUGGGAAGCUUGUUGUCCUAACCAGAGAAUAUAUCUCUAGGUCACAAUCAGACUUAAUUUCCAAAGUAAUGAUGGUACCUCAAGAAUUAACCCCCCAAAAAUUAUAAUUUAGAUUGUACUGUAUUUUAUACACGAACACACACACACAGACACACAGUGCUACCGAUGGGUAGGGGACAAAGCACAUGAUCCGAAAACAAAAGGAAACAAAAUGUGUAGCCUAAUGAAAUCAACAUGACCUCCAUUUCUCCUGUCACUCACUCUGACAUCUCCGCUGGAGUCCUGAAUGCUGGGUAGCUAGCUGGGAUAGUAGUGGAGGUCCCGGAGUUUCCCCUGUCUGUCUCUGUGUGAUCAUGCAUGUUUUUACUGCAGUGUUCCUCUGUGACGCAUGGCUCUAACCAGGCCCUCUCGCACCGGACACCCGAAAUGCUUGCACUGCACUGUGUCUCUAAGAAUGAGCUGUAAUCAAUAUUGUAUUUUGAAAUAAAAAUGAGUACAUAAAUAUUA